AGUGAACGCUGGCGGUAGGCCUAACACAUGCAAGUCGAACGGCAGCACAGAGGAGCUUGCUCCUUGGGUGGCGAGUGGCGGAUGGGUGAGGAAUACAUCGGAAUCUACUCUGUCGUGGGGGAUAACGUAGGGAAACUUACGCUAAUACCGCAUACGACCUACGGGUGCAAGCAGGGGAUCUCCGGACCUUGCGCGAUCGCAUGAGCCGAUGUCGGGUUAGCUAGUUGGCGGGGUAAGGGCCCACCAAGGCGACGAUCCGUAGCUGGUCUGAGAGGAUGAUCAGCCACACUGGAACUGAGACACGGUCCGGACUCCUACGGGAGGCAGCAGUGGGGAAUAUUGGACAAUGGGCGCAAGCCUGAUCCAGCCAUACCGCGUGGGUGAAGAAGGCCUUCGGGUUGUAAAGCCCUUUUGUUGGGAAAGAAAUCCAUCUGGUUAAUACCCGGGUGGGAUGACGGUACCCAAAGAAUAAGCACCGGCUAACUUCGUGCCAGCCGCCGCCGUAA
Molecule: ribosomal RNA, 506 nt
Filed under: uncultured bacterium
Lineage: Bacteria
Description: partial 16S ribosomal RNA
Rfam family: Bacterial small subunit ribosomal RNA
Source: RNAcentral